AUUCCUCCAGGAUAACAUUGAUCUUCUGAAGCUUCUCCUUGUUCCCAUGGCCAGCUUUGAGAAAUGACAUACUCGAGCUUUUUCUCUCUUCUUUAAGCAGAUCUCCUUCACCCGCUUCCUGGUGUUCAUGAUGAUAUCUGCUUGAGAUGAAAGGACGCACCUUUGCUCCUUAGACCAGAGGUAGUGCUAAUUUCACUCGGAUUGGAUUCUUCUAAUACAUGGACAUUGGCGUUCGCAAGAAAAGUAUCUGCCGAAACGGACCAGUAUAAAUACAAAGAAGAAAAAAACGCGAGCGUGGUCGAUUUAGACACGGCCCCAUACGAUACGAUAGUCGAUAAAUACUCUACCUGGUCGGUCGAGCACUUCCCGACGAACCAACGACACGAAAGCCGACCGAGCGUGCUGACCUAACCCGACCCACUGCUAGGCGCCUUCGCCUCGAUCCGCCGCCUCCGGCACCCCCUCCACCUCCCACGCGCGUCGCCCCCGUUGAUCGCCGCCGCCGUUCCCUUUGAUUUUGAGGGGCUUUAUAAGGAUUUAGGAUGCCUCGAGUUGGAGACCCAAACGCAUCUUCUAUCUUGAGAAUCACAUAUGAGUUGGGAUACCUUGCUUCCAUCAUCGCAGGAUGUUGGGUCGACGGCAACCUUUUUAUACAUGGCAUUCGUUAUAUGUCAACCUUCACAGACUUGAGUGGAAAAGUCCUAGCUAUAGGGCGGCCUUUGAUGAUAGCCAACUCUGUGAUGUUGCUUCUUGACAGAAUCAACUCACCAUAUGCACGGACUUUAAGCCUCACCAGAUGAAACUUUGUACGUAUCAAAUAUGGUGUGGUCUCCUGAAAUUUCUGUGUCAAAAGUGUAGUUUGUUCCCUUUAAUGAAGUGUGGAUGUGAAGGUGAACCGUGAUGUGAUACUCUGUUUCUUAUCGUUGGCAAAAUGUUUGAAAUUUGUCUAUGAAGUA
This is a long non-coding RNA of Triticum aestivum (bread wheat), 956 nucleotides long. RefSeq lists it as uncharacterized. The record is from RefSeq and is a predicted model, not a curated record. The transcript has 2 exons. NCBI's taxonomy places the organism in Eukaryota, Viridiplantae, Streptophyta, Magnoliopsida, Poales, Poaceae.